CUCACUUUGGCAGAGAUAUGUAAUAAAUUAGAACACUACAGAGCAGAUUAGCAUGGCCCUGAGCAAGGAUGACACCUAGAGUUGUUAAAUGUUCCCCAUCCAU
Tachyglossus aculeatus (Australian echidna) is the source of this 103-nucleotide small nuclear RNA. The record is from RefSeq and is a predicted model, not a curated record. NCBI's taxonomy places the organism in Eukaryota, Metazoa, Chordata, Mammalia, Monotremata, Tachyglossidae.